Astyanax mexicanus (Mexican tetra) is the source of this 126-nucleotide ribosomal RNA. Lineage: Eukaryota; Metazoa; Chordata; Actinopteri; Characiformes; Acestrorhamphidae. The record is from Ensembl.
GCUUACAGUCACACUACCUGAGAAGCCUGAAUUCUUCGUCAGAUCUCGGAAGCUAAGCAAGGUUUGCGUCCUGGGUUAAAUACUUGAAUGGGAGACAACCUGGGAAUACCAGGUGCUGUUUAAGCU